AUGUCAGCCAGAUCAGGCUCCAUGCCCAACAUGGGGCUCGAACUCAUGACUCUGAGGUCAAGAGUUCUCUACCAACUGAGCCAGUCAGGCACCACCUGUCUUUGUUAUUCAAAUAUCAAAUCUAUGCAGUGUUUUUACUGUUUAAAUAUUAAACGUGUAUCAUGUUCAUUAUCUGUCUGUCUCCACCCACUAGAUUGUAACUAGAAUGUAGACUCCACACAAGCAGGGAUCUGGGAGAGUCUCUGGCACAUAGUGGGUGCUCAAUAAGUGUUAAAUGAUAUAAUAAUUAUAAAGUCCCCAUGGAUGGUGGGCUUACUCUGUGUGCCCAUGUUGUGCACACACUGGUUUCCCCUGAUGAGAUCCCCACGGUACAGAUGAGAAACAGGAUCAGAAGGUGAAGGGAAUAUUAGGAAACACAGAAAUUAGAUUUAGUGAUGGCUGCCCAGAGCUCAUGCUCUGUACCUCUCACCCUAUGGGAGGGUCAUGACCCACAGUGAGUAGGAUACAAAGGGGACUAUGUAGUCCCUUCUCAGGAGCAAGAAAAAAGGGUGGCAUUUCGAGCUUUGGGUGACCCAGUCCCUAAACUCCAUUGUUCCUUUCCCCCCACCCCACUCCAUGAAGGAGAAUGAGCCAUCCUGGGGAGCCUCUCUCAGGGACUCAGAAGGUGGGCACCAGCCAGGACUGUCCUUUUGAAGAGGGAUAGUGAGGCUCAGAAAUGGGGAGAACUUUGCCCCGGGUACACAACCAGGAAGUGAUGGGUCUAGGAUUGAACCCCAGGUAUGCUGACCUUGCAACAUGUUGUGUCUCUGGUAAAGUACAAUUCCUAAGUCCUUCCUCUUGGAAAUCUUGAUUCAAUGGGUCUUGAGUGGGUGCUGGAAACCUGUAUUUGUAACAAGUUCCUCAGGGAAAUCAUAUGAUCAAAGAGUCCUGGGUAAAGGGCCAGUCUGCCAUUCACCAUCCACAGAUCUUUUCCCAAAGGCUAAGCACCAACUACUCAACUGUGCUUCUGUUCUCAAAAAUGGUGGAUGGUAGGGUCCCAG
RNAcentral lists this long non-coding RNA (1040 nucleotides) under Felis catus (domestic cat). RNAcentral describes it as "lncRNA (ENSFCAG00000049447.1)". The record is from RNAcentral. Lineage: Eukaryota; Metazoa; Chordata; Mammalia; Carnivora; Felidae.